UUUGUGAAGUGGAAUAAAGGAAAAAAUCUUGUGCCGGGGAGUUGAAACAGCGGUGGGAAUCCUCAAAAAUUAACCCCAUUUGGUUGAAGGUUUUCAGUAUUGAAUUGAGUUUCAAAUAAGGAUGGUGUCCAUGGAAGUGAAACCAAACCAGAUGGACGGUCUGGUCCAGACGUAAAGUUUCAUGAGAAGUCACUCCAAGUGGAGAAUGGCCUACGGCCCAACUUUAACUCUUUAGAAAACUUUUUUUUUGUAAAUUUAUAUUCUUUAAUUAUUAAUUUAAUUAAUUAAUUUAAUUAUUUUGUUCAUGUUGUUAAUCAUUUCUAACGUCAAGCAUAUUAAAAAAAAAUUGAAAGAAGAAUUGUAAUACAAAAAAAAAAGAUUUCAUAAAUUUUUGGACGAUUAAGUUUCGGGAAACUUAGUUCGGGGUUUAAUUAGCAGAUACCAAUUUGUAAUUAUCUUUUUUUUUCUUUCGCGCGGUUGUUUUGAAGAUAAAGUUAAAUUUAAAGUUAAAGUACAGAUUUUUCUCGAUCUUAAAUUUCAUAGUCAUUGUUCGAUAUCAAGGUAGAAAGUGGGGCUGGCUGAAUGCAGCUCCUGGAAUCGUCGUGACCUGGAACUGAAUCCAGCGGGCGGCGAAUUCCAGGAUGACUUGCAUUUAGCUGUGAGAGAAGAGCGAGUAAGCGGGAUCGCGAGAAUUUCAUCACAAGUUGAGAUCAACAUGCCGAUCUCCGAUUGGCUGUUGAUGAUGUGAUUGAAAUCCGCCACUCCAUAUUGGCUGAAAGCUAAAAUGGCGGGAGAGGUAAAGAAGAGAUAGGACAGAUCUUGAGAUCUGGCCGUCAAUUCUUGUCAAACUUUCAAGGAGUGCAGAUAACAAAAUUUUUUGAGAAAUUCGAACAAAGAGUGUGAAAAAAAAAGAUUGAGAAAAAUUACAAAAAAAAGUGUCGGGACUGAGGAAAAAUAAAGAAGGAAAAGGAAGUUAGUUGCUAGUUUGGGAUUUUCAAAAAAAAAGAUAAGUACAAAUUUCAUCGGUUCGGUAUAAAAUCGUUUUGACAUUUAAUUUUUUUUUAUUCUUUUUUAAUCCCCAAUUUAUUGAUGGGAAUUUAGACCUUAACGGUCCAUAAUUUAUGAAAUCUUUUGUUUAAUUGUUGGAAAAGAUCCUGAGUUUUCAUCCUGCUUUUGCAAGGUUUCUCAGGCCUAUUUAACUUAAUAAACAUAUCUUAAAAAGAU
Molecule: long non-coding RNA, 1224 nt
Organism: Eupeodes corollae
Lineage: Eukaryota; Metazoa; Arthropoda; Insecta; Diptera; Syrphidae
Exons: 2
Source: RefSeq, a predicted model, not a curated record